Molecule: ribosomal RNA, 443 nt
Filed under: uncultured bacterium
Lineage: Bacteria
Description: partial 16S ribosomal RNA
Rfam family: Bacterial small subunit ribosomal RNA
Source: RNAcentral
CCUACGGGUGGCAGCAGUGGGGAAUAUUGGGCAAUGGGCGCAAGCCUGAACCAGCAACGCCGCGUGAAGGAAGAAGGCUUUCGGGUUGUAAACUUCUUUUCUGAGGGACGAAGAAAGUGACGGUACCUCAGGAAUAAGCCACGGCUAACUACGUGCCAGCAGCCGCGGUAAUACGUAGGUGGCAAGCGUUAUCCGGAUUUAUUGGGUGUAAAGGGCGUGUAGGCGGGAAAGCAAGUCAGAUGUGAAAACUCAGGGCUCAACUCUGAGCCUGCAUUUGAAACUGUUUUUCUUGAGUGCUGGAGAGGCAAUCGGAAUUCAGUGUGUAGCGGUGAAAUGCGUAGAUAUACGGAGGAACACCAGUGGCGAAGGCGGAUUGCUGGACAGUAACUGACGCUGAGGCGCGAAAGCGUGGGGAGCAAACAGGAUUAGAUACCCCAGUAGUC